UACGGAGGGGACUAGCGUUGUUCGGAAUUACUGGGCGUAAAGCGCACGUAGGCGGAUCUGUAAGUCAGGGGUGAAAUCCCGGGGCUCAACCUCGGAACUGCCUUUGAUACUGCAAAUCUCGAGUCCGGAAGAGGUGAGUGGAAUUCCUAGUGUAGAGGUGAAAUUCGUAGAUAUUAGGAAGAACACCAGUGGCGAAGGCGGCUCACUGGUCCGGUACUGACGCUGAGGUGCGAAAGCGUGGGGAGCAAACAGG
This 253-nucleotide ribosomal RNA is filed under the name uncultured bacterium. Its description in RNAcentral is "partial 16S ribosomal RNA". It matches the Rfam family "Bacterial small subunit ribosomal RNA", at positions 524 to 776 of the family's 1533-position model. The record is from RNAcentral.